UACGGAAGGUCCGAGCGUUAUCCGGAUUUAUUGGGUUUAAAGGGUGCGCAGGCGGGUUGUCAAGUCAGCCGUCAAAUCGUGGGGCUCAACUCCAUCCAGCGGUUGAAACUGGCGACCUUGAGUGCGGCAGAGGGAAGCGGAAUUCGUGGUGUAGCGGUGAAAUGCAUAGAUAUCACGAAGAACUCCGAUUGCGAAGGCAGCUUCCUGGACCGUAACUGACGCUGAGGCACGAAGGUGUGGGAAUC
This 245-nucleotide ribosomal RNA is filed under the name uncultured Bacteroidales bacterium. Its description in RNAcentral is "partial 16S ribosomal RNA". It matches the Rfam family "Bacterial small subunit ribosomal RNA", at positions 524 to 769 of the family's 1533-position model. The record is from RNAcentral. Lineage: Bacteria; Pseudomonadati; Bacteroidota; Bacteroidia; Bacteroidales.